GAUGAACGCUGGCGGCGUGCUUAACACAUGCAAGUCGAACGAUAAAGCCCAGCUUGCUGGGUGGAUUAGUGGCGAACGGGUGAGUAACACGUGAGUAACCUGCCCUUGACUCUGGGAUAAGCCCGGGAAACUGGGUCUAAUACCGGAUAGGAGCGCCUGUCGCAUGACGGGUGUUGGAAAGAUUUUUCGGUCAUGGAUGGACUCGCGGCCUAUCAGCUUGUUGGUGAGGUAAUGGCUCACCAAGGCGACGACGGGUAGCCGGCCUGAGAGGGUGACCGGCCACACUGGGACUGAGACACGGCCCAGACUCCUACGGGAGGCAGCAGUGGGGAAUAUUGCACAAUGGGCGGAGGCCUGAUGCAGCGACGCCGCGUGAGGGAUGACGGCCUUCGGGUUGUAAACCUCUUUUCAGUAGGGAAGAAAGCGAAAAGUGAACGGUAC
This 441-nucleotide ribosomal RNA is filed under the name Micrococcus sp. oral taxon F54. RNAcentral describes it as "bacterial SSU rRNA". It matches the Rfam family "Bacterial small subunit ribosomal RNA", at positions 28 to 478 of the family's 1533-position model. Lineage: Bacteria; Bacillati; Actinomycetota; Actinomycetes; Micrococcales; Micrococcaceae. The record is from RNAcentral.